RNAcentral lists this long non-coding RNA (821 nucleotides) under Sorghum bicolor (sorghum). Its description in RNAcentral is "long non-coding RNA (SBIC_LNC010753)". Lineage: Eukaryota; Viridiplantae; Streptophyta; Magnoliopsida; Poales; Poaceae. The record is from RNAcentral.
AUGUGGCCUAUUUGUUUUAUUAUAGGCAAAGCUUAAUUAUAAAGCUAAGCCUAUAAUAAUAUUUAUGCUUAAUAUGCAUGUAAUAUAUAUAUAUAUUAUUAUUAUAUCAGCAUAAAAUACGUAUUGACAAACCUAUUAUUAUUAUAUAUAAACAAUAAACAGAAACGAAUAAAUGAACCGAAAAAAAAAGACAAAAAAAGGACCCUUUCGGUUGGUUAUAUCAACCGGUGUUAAAGGGUCCUGCUACGUGGUAGCCAUGGCAGGACCAUUUAAAACCGGUUAGUAUAACCAACCGGUGUUAAGGGGGGGCUAUUGGCCCGGUGCCCUUAACCGGGAUUAACGGAUGGGCCUUUAGUCCCAGAAGGACAGCACCGGCUCAGGAACCGGGGUAACAGGUCCUUCCCGAUCGGUACUAAUGCCCGAACGUGCAGCAGUGUGCAAAAUCAGCCCAAGGGUUUUUUGUGUGGUUUAUCAAAAUUUAAUGUAGAUAAUAUUUGGUUUUAUAGUUCAGAGGGAUACGCUGAUCCGAAAGGGCCCUUACAAGUUGAAUCAACGAGACCUGGAGACGCUAUAAUGAAAAAAAAACUAAGGAAUGAGAAUGGGCCACCUUAUCCCUCAAACCGUUCAAAGCAAGCACACAAUAAAUUCCCCAUGCCAAUUCUUAGACAACAGUUCAAAUCGUUAGUCAAAGUCUGGUAGCUACAGGCUACAACAUACUCGAUAUAACUUACCCAUGGUAAGUUCGUUAUCUUCGUUGCCACAAAAAGAUGUGACAACAUUGUCCUUAGACGAAUACUCCCUUUGUCAACAUAAUAGUAAGC